RNAcentral lists this ribosomal RNA (259 nucleotides) under uncultured bacterium. Its description in RNAcentral is "partial 16S ribosomal RNA". It matches the Rfam family "Bacterial small subunit ribosomal RNA", at positions 524 to 776 of the family's 1533-position model. The record is from RNAcentral.
UACGGAGGGUGCGAGCGUUGUCCGGAAUCAUUGGGCGUAAAGGGCGCGUAGGUGGCCACUUCAAGCGUGCGGUGAAAGUCGGGGGCUCAACCCCUGAUCGGCCGUGCGGAACUGGGGGGCUGGAGCACUGUAGAGGCAGGCGGAAUUCCGGGUGUAGCGGUGGAAUGCGUAGAGAGUCCGGAAGAACGACCGGUGGCGAAGGCGGCCUGCUGGGCAGUUUUGCUGACACUGAGGCGCGACAGCGUGGGGAGCAAACAGG